AUUGAACGCUGGCGGCAGGCCUAACACAUGCAAGUCGAGCGGAUGAAGGGAGCUUGCUCCUGGAUUCAGCGGCGGACGGGUGAGUAAUGCCUAGGAAUCUGCCUGGUAGUGGGGGAUAACGUCCGGAAACGGGCGCUAAUACCGCAUACGUCCUGAGGGAGAAAGUGGGGGAUCUUCGGACCUCAUGCUAUCAGAUGAGCCUAGGUCGGAUUAGCUAGUUGGUGGGGUAAAGGCCUACCAAGGCGACGAUCCGUAACUGGUCUGAGAGGAUGAUCAGUCACACUGGAACUGAGACACGGUCCAGACUCCUACGGGAGGCAGCGGUGGGGAAUAUUGGACAAUGGGCGAAAGCCUGAUCCAGCCAUGCCGCGUGUGUGAAGAAGGUCUUCGGAUUGUAAAGCACUUUAAGUUGGGAGGAAGGGCAGUAAGUUAAUACCUUGCUGUUUUGACGUUACCAACAGAAUAAGCACCGGCUAACUUCGUG
RNAcentral lists this ribosomal RNA (484 nucleotides) under uncultured bacterium. Its description in RNAcentral is "partial 16S ribosomal RNA". It matches the Rfam family "Bacterial small subunit ribosomal RNA", at positions 30 to 507 of the family's 1533-position model. The record is from RNAcentral.